CAUGAUAUAACAGGGAGUGGGUACCACGCAAGUGCGCCCAUUCUGUCUGCAUAUUCUACCCAUGAUUUUGCGUACCCUUUGUUUCCUUGGUGGGCUUGCCCACCAAUAGGACACCCAACAACCCUUUGUAAUUGCAGUCAGCGUCAGAAAACUAUAAUAAUUA
Molecule: unclassified non-coding RNA, 163 nt
Filed under: uncultured Leptosphaeriaceae
Lineage: Eukaryota; Fungi; Ascomycota; Dothideomycetes; Pleosporales; Leptosphaeriaceae
Description: sequence contains ITS1
Source: RNAcentral